RNAcentral lists this unclassified non-coding RNA (155 nucleotides) under uncultured Ascomycota. RNAcentral describes it as "sequence contains ITS1". The record is from RNAcentral. Lineage: Eukaryota; Fungi; Ascomycota.
CUGAGUCGUAAAAAACUCCCAACCCAUGUGAAUUUACCUUUGUUGCCUCGGCAGGACCUACCCGGUACCUACCCUGUAGCUACCCUGUAGCCUGCCGAUGGACUAUUAAACUCUUGUUUUUAAUGUCAUUCUGAAUUAUCAAACUUAAUAAGUUA